UCAAGUAGCCGUUAUUGCCAUACUAUUAUUAAUACAAAAUAUUUAUUGUGGAUACGAUUAUUCGUGCGACUAUAAAAUUGGUGACCCGUCUUGGGAUUACGCUCGAAUAUUUUACAACAAAACACACAUCGUCCCAGCUGGGAUCAAAUCGUAUACAAUUGAUUUAUCGAAAAACAGCCUUAUAAUAUGUUUCGUAUGUGUCAACAUAAGUGACAUCUCACCGAACAACGCUACAAUUUCUUUCGUGAGCUUAUUUAAGUCGAUUACGGUAGAUUUCAACAAUGUUAACGGUCGGGACGUCAAAGUUCAUGCAUUAGCUAUGCAUCAUGGAUACAGAAGGAAAGAAGAACCGGCAUGGACGGAUAAUACAGCGAUUUUUUCAAUACCCAAAGUAUUGGAAUGAAAAUAAAACCUUAAAAAAAUAAAAAAUUCAAUUGA
Vanessa tameamea is the source of this 438-nucleotide long non-coding RNA. RefSeq lists it as uncharacterized. The transcript has 3 exons. The record is from RefSeq and is a predicted model, not a curated record. NCBI's taxonomy places the organism in Eukaryota, Metazoa, Arthropoda, Insecta, Lepidoptera, Nymphalidae.